GAUGAACGCUGGCGGCGUGCCUAAUACAUGCCAGUCGAGCGAACAGAUGAGGAGCUUGCUCCUCUGACGUUAGCGGCGGACGGGUGAGUAACACGUGGAUAACCUACCUAUAAGACUAGGAUAACUUCGGGAAACCGGAGCUAAUACCGGAUAAUAUAUUGAACCGCAUGGUUCAAUAGUGAAAGACGGUUUUGCUGUCACUUAUAGAUGGAUCCGCGCCGCAUUAGCUAGUUGGUAAGGUAACGGCUUACCAAGGCAACGAUGCGUAGCCGACCUGAGAGGGUGAUCGGCCACACUGGAACUGAGACACGGUCCAGACUCCUACGGGAGGCAGCAGUAGGGAAUCUUCCGCAAUGGGCGAAAGCCUGACGGAGCAACGCCGCGUGAGUGAUGAAGGUCUUCGGAUCGUAAAACUCUGUUAUUAGGGAAGAACAAAUGUGUAAGUAACUAUGCACGUCUUGACGGUACCUAAUCAGAAAGCCACGGCUAACUACGUG
RNAcentral lists this ribosomal RNA (497 nucleotides) under uncultured bacterium. RNAcentral's name for it is "partial 16S ribosomal RNA". It matches the Rfam family "Bacterial small subunit ribosomal RNA", at positions 28 to 507 of the family's 1533-position model. The record is from RNAcentral.